GUCGUUGUAGUAUAGUGGUAAGUAUUCCCGCCUGACACCUGGGGUGACUCGCGUUUGAUCCCCGGCAACGGCG
Molecule: transfer RNA, 73 nt
Filed under: Datura stramonium (jimsonweed)
Lineage: Eukaryota; Viridiplantae; Streptophyta; Magnoliopsida; Solanales; Solanaceae
Description: tRNA-Val
Rfam family: tRNA
About the family: Transfer RNA (tRNA) molecules are approximately 80 nucleotides in length. Their secondary structure includes four short double-helical elements and three loops (D, anti-codon, and T loops). Further hydrogen bonds mediate the characteristic L-shaped molecular structure. tRNAs have two regions of fundamental functional importance: the anti-codon, which is responsible for specific mRNA codon recognition, and the 3' end, to which the tRNAs corresponding amino acid is attached (by aminoacyl-tRNA synthetases). tRNAs cope with the degeneracy of the genetic code in two manners: having more than one tRNA (with a specific anti-codon) for a particular amino acid; and 'wobble' base-pairing, i.e. permitting non-standard base-pairing at the 3rd anti-codon position.
Source: RNAcentral